UACAGAGGGCCCGAGCGUUGCGCGGAAUCACUGGGCUUAAAGGGUGCGUAGGCGGAAACUUAAGUGUCUUGUGAAAUCCCACGGCUCAACCGUGGAAUGGCAGGGCAUACUGGGUUUCUUGAGGCUGGUAGGCGCUGCCGGAACUGUAGGUGUAGCGGUGAAAUGCGUAGAUAUCUACAGGAACGCCGAUGGUGAAGACGGGCAGCUGGGCCAGUUCUGACGCUGAGGCACGAAAGCGUGGGGAUCAAACAGG
Molecule: unclassified non-coding RNA, 253 nt
Filed under: uncultured Phycisphaeraceae bacterium
Lineage: Bacteria; Pseudomonadati; Planctomycetota; Phycisphaerae; Phycisphaerales; Phycisphaeraceae
Description: contains 16S-23S intergenic spacer region
Rfam family: Bacterial small subunit ribosomal RNA
Source: RNAcentral